GUGAGAUACAGUUUAGCUCUUCUUGCCCAGGCUGGAGUGCAAUGGUGCGGUCUUGGCUCACUGCAACCUCCACCUCCUGGGUUCAAGCAAUUCUUCGGUCCCAGCCUCUCAAGUAGCUGGGAUUAUAGGCGUCCGCCAACAUGCCCGGCUCAUUUUUGUAUUUUUAGUAGAGAUGGGGUUUCACCAUGUUAGCCAGGCUGGUCUCAAACUCCUGACCGCAGGUGAUCCACCCACCUCGGCCUCCCAAAGUACUAGGAUUACGGGCAUGAGCCAACAUGCCCAGCCCUAUUCUUUAAUUUUUAAGUAGCUUUGGCCUUCACUAGCAUUACUACAGUCCUAUAUGUAAAAGUAUACUGCUGAUGAGGAAAAUAUACCUCAUUUAAAAUGUGUGCUUUAAAGUCGAGUCUCUGCUAUCUACCAUACCAAUGUAGGUUUUGGUCACUAUCAAGUUAUUUUCGUUCUCAGCAAGUAAAACUGCCAUGUUCUUCAUGAUUUUUUUCUAUGCAUACACAGUCAUUGCUAAGAUAAACAUUAUUUUUAGACAUCAAAAUUCCUAGCUUAUUAUUUUACAUCAUAUUAGUGCAAUUGUCAAGAGACAAUUUUAUAUUUCUUAAUUCACUUUUUCUCUUUGUAAUCUGAGUUCCCCAA
Molecule: long non-coding RNA, 648 nt
Filed under: Homo sapiens (human)
Lineage: Eukaryota; Metazoa; Chordata; Mammalia; Primates; Hominidae
Description: HSALNT0407208
Source: RNAcentral